RNAcentral lists this long non-coding RNA (244 nucleotides) under Lathyrus oleraceus (garden pea). RNAcentral describes it as "Pisum sativum (pea) long non-coding RNA (PSAT_LNC009329)". Lineage: Eukaryota; Viridiplantae; Streptophyta; Magnoliopsida; Fabales; Fabaceae. The record is from RNAcentral.
AAUCAGACAAAGAUAAGAAUGAGUAUAAUAGAUAAAUCAAAGGAGUCUCUCUAGCUUAUAUCAGAUGAAUGGCCUAGGCAAGAAAUGGUCUCAAAAUAAUGGCAUUGGCCAAGUCUCUUCCAUAGCUCAAGGAUGUUGCCUACUCUAAGUCCAUAAGGUCAACUCAAGUUACAGACAGAGGUCCAAUAGUCCACCAAUAUAUUUUUUAGGGUUUUUGUUUUUUAUUAAGUGUUUUAAGGUCCUA